CACACACUAACAGAAGGCCUUUUCUCUUUGUUGAGAUCUGAUUCCAAAUGUAAAUAGGUUCCAUAAUUUGUCUGCUGUUACUGGUUCCACCUUCCACUUACUUUAUGUGAUAUGUAGUGUCCCCUGUUUCUCAUACUGUCUCUUAUGGUCUUAUGGUCUAUUAAUUACCUGUAAAAAAAAGAAGCUUAGAACCUCAGAUAAUCCAUAAUAUUCGAGAAGUUUAUCAGAAGAGCUUUUUUAGUCUGUUUGCCUCUGUAUGUACAGAACAGAGGAUGCACAUGUGUGCAUGAGUAUGAAUGUUUGUGUUUGUCUGUGUGUUUAUUUUAGGGGCUCAGUAGGAGCUACCCACCCACCCUUAAUUUCUUGAGGUUAUGUGACUGCCUGGAAGACUGUUUCCACCCCAAACCAUGACUCCGAUCUGACUCCGAUCUGGUGGGGGAUGGAGGAAUGAUAGUUUGAGUUAUACAGUGUUUUGAUCAAACACACACACGUCCAACCUCUAUCCUUCCCUGGUCAGACCUCUGCCCCCACAGAAUGAUCACAGAGAGAAAAAAAAUAGUGACUUGGCGCUCCCAGGCAGAGUACGAGCUCAGAGUUGGAGUGUAAUUCAGGAGAUGUGAUCAGUCAGGGCUGAGUGGAGUGGAGCCUCAGAGAAAAGCUGUACACAUACACAGCAGCCCAGAAAGGCACACAGAGCCUUCUCCUUAAAUGGUCAAAGCUCCCAGGAGUGAAAGAGAGGCUGGUCCUGGGAAAAAAAAGACAGGGAAAAGAAAGGAAAAGAGACAGCUAGGGAUAGUUAGGUUUUCUGUGAAAAAAUCUGGGAAUUACAGUUUGACUGAGGGAAGGUUCUGUCGGGUGUUUUAUGUGGAGUUUAUGUGGAGCUAAGCAGUGGAGGUUGUAUCUCUCACAGGAGGUUACAGGUUCCAUCCCAGUGUCAGAGACACAAACACCCCCAGUGUCCCCAUCACAAGUCUUCCUCCAGUACGAGUGUGCCCCUUCACUUACCGUCCCAACGGAUACACCCCCCCAGUCUGCCUGUUGCAGUCACGCUGCCGCUCACACUGAGGAGAAUGUAGCAGGUCUCAGAUCGGAGGAUCCUAGUUGCCGUGACUACUGUCAGUCAGAGGCCCGCGACUGUGGGAGUGGCCAAGCAUUGCCACCUGGAGACUGUGGGAGUGGCCAAGCAUUGCCGCCUGGAGACUGUGGGAGGAGUCAGCCAUCAAACCCAGAAGACAGUGCUGGUAGUAAAGCCUCUGAACCAGAAGAUAGUGGGAGGAGCAAUGCAUUACAACCAACAGAUAUUGGGUGUGAUCUAGAGCAUUGUGGGAGUUUCCAUUCUCGAGCUCUACUGACUGUUUUAAUAACAGGCUCAGAUAAGGAAGGAGGGGGCCACGAGUUGUACUGCUUUCCCUGGGUUCAGACUGAACAGCAGUUAGAGGAAUCCCCUACCCAACCCACUCCAGCUGAGAGCCCCUUUUUCUUCCCCCUGACACGACCCCGAGCCCCACAGCCCCCCGUUAUGCCCGUCCUCCCGGAAGAAGAGGAGGAUUCCCCUGAGGAGCUCGACAGUUCCUCCAGCUCACCCAGCACAUAUACACCAGUUGAAAGUAGAGCAGUUACCGUGGCGAUGCCUGCUCCCACUAUUGUCUUCCCAAAGCAAGCUACCGUGACCGUGGUCCAAGCAGACGGUCGCCCUCUGGAACAGACCAGGUACAUGUGUUAUUUCAUCCUGAGAACAGGACUGUUCAUGUCAAAAAGGUUUGAGAGCAAACCACCUCUUGA
RNAcentral lists this long non-coding RNA (1782 nucleotides) under Oncorhynchus kisutch (coho salmon). RNAcentral's name for it is "lncRNA (ENSOKIG00005042761.1)". The record is from RNAcentral. Lineage: Eukaryota; Metazoa; Chordata; Actinopteri; Salmoniformes; Salmonidae.